RNAcentral lists this ribosomal RNA (537 nucleotides) under uncultured bacterium. Its description in RNAcentral is "bacterial SSU rRNA". It matches the Rfam family "Bacterial small subunit ribosomal RNA", at positions 968 to 1509 of the family's 1533-position model. The record is from RNAcentral.
CCUUUACCUACCCUUGACAUGGAAGGAAUCCCUGAGAGAUUGGGGAGUGCCCGAAAGGAACCUUUUACACAGGUGCUGCAUGGCUGUCGUCAGCUCGUGUCGUGAGAUGUUGGGUUUAAGUCCCGCAACGAGCGCAACCCUUGUCAUUAGUUGCUACGCAAGAGCACUCUAAUGAGACUGCCGGUGACAACCGGAGGAAGGUGGGGAUGACGUCAAGUCCUCAUGGCCCUUAUGGGUAGGGCUUCACACGUCAUACAAUGGUACAUACAGAGGGCCGCCAACCCGCGAGGGGGAGCUAAUCCCAGAAAGUGUAUCGUAGUCCGGAUUGUAGUCUGCAACUCGACUACAUGAAGUUGGAAUCGCUAGUAAUCGCGGAUCAGCAUGUCGCGGUGAAUACGUUCCCGGGUCUUGUACACACCGCCCGUCACACCAUGGGAGCGGGUUUUACCAGAAGUAGGUAGCUUAACCGCAAGGAGGGCGCUUACCACGGUAGGAUUCGUGACUGGGGUGAAGUCGUAACAAGGUAAGCGUAGCGAG